Molecule: long non-coding RNA, 321 nt
Filed under: Calidris pugnax (ruff)
Lineage: Eukaryota; Metazoa; Chordata; Aves; Charadriiformes; Scolopacidae
Description: lncRNA (ENSCPUG00000014705.1)
Source: RNAcentral
AGUUGCUUGACUUGACCUUAGGCAGUAUGAGGUCAAGAAAUAUUAAUAAAAUGCUUUCUUAACUGUUUAUUUCUGCUUUUUUUUAUAUAUCCUUGUUGUGACGUGACAGAGCAUUUGAGGUCAACUGCCAAGCUAUCAGUGGAGAUGGAGUAAAGCACCUUUAUCUAAGCCUUUGCUAACACGGUGCUCAGCCGUGACUCAGAGAGGGUGUAAAACACUCGUGCAGACUAAGAUUGUAGAUCUUCGCCCACAUCCACUCUUCUUGUGACAUCCUGCAGAUCACAAGGCCUCCCAGCUCUUAUGCCUUCAGGCUGACUUGAA